RNAcentral lists this ribosomal RNA (497 nucleotides) under uncultured bacterium. Its description in RNAcentral is "partial 16S ribosomal RNA". It matches the Rfam family "Bacterial small subunit ribosomal RNA", at positions 28 to 507 of the family's 1533-position model. The record is from RNAcentral.
GAUGAACGCUGGCGGCGUGCCUAAUACAUGCAAGUCGAGCGAACAGACGAGGAGCUCGCUCCUCUGACGUUAGCGGCGGACGGGUGAGUAACACGUGGAUAACCUACCUAUAAGACUGGGAUAACUUCGGGAAACCGGAGCUAAUACCGGAUAAUAUAUUGAACCGCAUGGUUCAAUAGUGAAAGACGGUUUUGCUGUCACUUAUAGAUGGAUCCGCGCCGCAUUAGCUAGUUGGUAAGGUAACGGCUUACCAAGGCAACGAUGCGUAGCCGACCUGAGAGAGUGAUCGGCCACACUGGAACUGAGACACGGUCCAGACUCCUACGGGAGGCAGCAGUAGGGAAUCUUCCGCAAUAGGCGAAAGCUUGACGGAGCAACGCCGCGUGAGUGAUGGAGGUCUUCGGAUCGUAAAACUCUGUUAUUAGGGAAGAACAAAUGUGUAAGUAACUAUACACGUCUUGACGGUACCUGAUCAGAAAGCCACGGCUAACUACGUG